GUAACAAGGUUUCCGUAGGUGAACCUGCGGAAGGAUCAUUAGUGAAACUUCAAAAGUCGGCUUUGUUCUUCUGUUGCUGGUGGGGAGACAACCCACAUGUGCACGUCGAACGGGUCGCAAAUCCCACACACCUGUGAAUCUAUGACUCUGAGUGCCGCUUUGNGUGGCCCCUCACCGGGCCUGGUACUCGAGUAACUUUACACACUCUCGAAUGUAAUGGAAUGUCUAUUGUGCAUAAUGUACAACUAAAACAACUUUCAACAACGGAUCUCUUGGCUCUCGCAUCGAUGAAGAACGCAGCGAAAUGCGAUAAGUAAUGUGAAUUGCAGAAUUCAGUGAAUCAUCGAAUCUUUGAACGCACCUUGCACCCUUUGGUAUUCCGAAGGGUACACCCGUUUGAGUGUCAUUGUAAUCUCACCUCUUCGACUCUUUAUCGGGUCGACCAGUGUGGACUUGGAUGUUGCCGUGUGACAAACGGCUCGUCUGAAAUGCCUUAGUGUACCCUGCUUUGCGGCGUAUUCGGUGUGAUACAUCUUCACCGGAGUCUCGACUUUCGGGUCGGCGCUUGUAUGGUUUGGCUCUAUGCUUUCCAACCGUCCCUGACAAGGACAAAAUACUCUGACAAUUUGACCUCAAAUCGGGUGGGACUACCCGCUGAACUUAAGCAUAUCAAUAAGCGGAGGAAAAGAAACUAACAAGGAUUCCCCUAGUAACGGCGAGUGAAGAGGGAAAAGCUCAAAUUUUGAAUCUGGUGUUUUUGGCGCCCGAGUUGUAAUCUAGAGAAGUGUUUUCCGCGUCGGACCGUGUGCAAGUUUCCUGGAACGGGGUGUCAUAGAGGGUGAGAAUCCCGUAUAUGCCACGGACUACCGAUGCUUUGUGAUACACUCUCAACGAGUCGAGUUGUUUGGGAAUGCAGCUCAAAAUGGGUGGUAAAUUCCAUCUAAAGCUAAAUAUUGGCGAGAGACCGAUAGCGAACAAGUACCGUGGGGGAAAGAUGAAAAGCACUUUGGAAAGAGAGUGAAACAGUACGUGAAAUUGUUGAAAGGGAAGCGUUUGAAGUCAGUCAUAUCUGUCGGGAUUCAGCCUGGCUUCUGCCUGGUGUACUUUCCGUCCGAUGGGUCAGCAUCAAUUUCGAUGGGGGGAAAAAGACGUUUGGAAUGUGGCUGUCUUCGGGCAGUGUUAUAGCCUCGUGUUGUAUGCCUCUGUCGGGAUUGAGGAACGCAGCGCGCCUAUUGGCCGGGGGCUCUGUCCUCUCGAAUCGCGCUUAGGAUGCUGGCAUAAUGCCUUUAAGCGACC
RNAcentral lists this ribosomal RNA (1296 nucleotides) under uncultured fungus. RNAcentral describes it as "eukaryotic LSU rRNA". The stretch from base 628 to 1296 matches the Rfam family "Eukaryotic large subunit ribosomal RNA", at positions 1 to 649 of the family's 3401-position model. The record is from RNAcentral. Lineage: Eukaryota; Fungi.